AUGGCGCGCGGCCUUCUGGAGGUGCAUCUGGUCCACGCCAAGGGCCUUUCCGGCACCGAUUUCCUUGGGAAGAUAGACCCGUAUGUGGUGGUGCAGUUCCGGAGCCAGGAGCGCAAGAGCAGCACCGCCGGAGAUGCGGGGAGGAACCCGAGCUGGAACGAGGUCUUCAGGUUCCAGAUCAACUCCUCCGCGGCCAACGUGCAGGAUAAGCUUGUCCUCCGGAUCAUGGACCACGACAACUUCUCCAGCGACGAUUUCCUCGGCCAAGCAACGAUCAAUGUGACUGACCUCAUCAGCAUGGGCAUGGAGAGCGGCACGUCGCGGCUGAACCCGGCCAAGUACAGGGUGGUCACCGCCGACAACUCGUACCACGGCGAGAUCAAGAUCGGCAUCACCUUCACCGCCCACCGCCGACAGCUCUGUUUCUCUCUCGUGGACUAG
Molecule: ribosomal RNA, 441 nt
Filed under: Triticum aestivum (bread wheat)
Lineage: Eukaryota; Viridiplantae; Streptophyta; Magnoliopsida; Poales; Poaceae
Description: partial small subunit ribosomal RNA
Source: RNAcentral